RNAcentral lists this ribosomal RNA (622 nucleotides) under uncultured bacterium. Its description in RNAcentral is "bacterial SSU rRNA". The stretch from base 1 to 543 matches the Rfam family "Bacterial small subunit ribosomal RNA", at positions 338 to 873 of the family's 1533-position model. The record is from RNAcentral.
CCUACGGGAGGCAGCAGUGGGGAAUUUUGGACAAUGGGCGCAAGCCUGAUCCAGCAAUGCCGCGUGCAGGAUGAAGGCCUUCGGGUUGUAAACUGCUUUUGUACGGAACGAAACGGUCUACCCUAAUACGGUGGGCUAAUGACGGUACCGUAAGAAUAAGCACCGGCUAACUACGUGCCAGCAGCCGCGGUAAUACGUAGGGUGCGAGCGUUAAUCGGAAUUACUGGGCGUAAAGCGUGCGCAGGCGGUUAUAUAAGACAGAUGUGAAAUCCCCGGGCUCAACCUGGGACCUGCAUUUGUGACUGUAUAGCUAGAGUACGGUAGAGGGGGAUGGAAUUCCGCGUGUAGCAGUGAAAUGCGUAGAUAUGCGGAGGAACACCGAUGGCGAAGGCAAUCCCCUGGACCUGUACUGACGCUCAUGCACGAAAGCGUGGGGAGCAAACAGGAUUAGAUACCCUGGUAGUCCACGCCCUAAACGAUGUCAACUGGUUGUUGGGUCUUCACUUGACUCAGUAACGAAGCUAACGCGUGAAGUUGACCGCCUGGGGAGGCGGUCCGCGAGUUAGUUAAGUAAAGUUAAGUUAGUAGNGNGNGAGNGCGACGGACGACGACGAGGAGGAGG